UGGAAGGUCGGUUGGGCGCACCCUUCGCCAACCCGGUCAGGUCCGGAAGGAAGCAGCCGUAACGGAGUUCUUGCGGGUCAUCCGAUCUUCUACCG
RNAcentral lists this signal recognition particle RNA (95 nucleotides) under Sphaerospermopsis sp. SIO1G2. Its description in RNAcentral is "signal recognition particle sRNA small type". It matches the Rfam family "Bacterial small signal recognition particle RNA". Rfam says of the family: The signal recognition particle (SRP) is a universally conserved ribonucleoprotein involved in the co-translational targeting of proteins to membranes. The record is from RNAcentral. Lineage: Bacteria; Bacillati; Cyanobacteriota; Cyanophyceae; Nostocales; Aphanizomenonaceae.